GUAGUACUCCCUCCGUCCGGAAAUACUUGUCCGAGGAAUGGAUGUAUCUAGAUGUAUUUUAGUUCUAAAUACAUCUAUUUGUAUCCAUUUCUAUGACAAGUAUUUCCGUAUAAAGGGAGUACUUG
This is a non-coding RNA of Triticum urartu, 125 nucleotides long. The record is from Rfam. Lineage: Eukaryota; Viridiplantae; Streptophyta; Magnoliopsida; Poales; Poaceae.